GUCUACCGCCAUGCCACCUGAACAAACCCGAUGUCUGAUCUCGGAAGCUAAGCAGGGUCGAGCCUGGUUAGUACUUGGAUGGGAGACCACCUAGGAAAACCAGAUGCUGUAGGCC
Molecule: ribosomal RNA, 115 nt
Filed under: Pteropus alecto (black flying fox)
Lineage: Eukaryota; Metazoa; Chordata; Mammalia; Chiroptera; Pteropodidae
Source: RNAcentral